GAUUUACUGGGGCGUAAAGGGUGCGUAGGCGGUUGUAUAAGUGGAAAUGUGAAAGCCCUGGGCUCAACCUAGGAAGUGCAUACCAUACUAUACGGCUGGAGUAUAUGAGAGGGUGGCGGAAUUUUCCGGUGUAGCGGUGAAAUGCGUAGAGAUCGGAAGGAACGUCAAUGGCGAAGGCAGCCACCUGGCAUAAUACUGACGCUGAGGCACGAAAGCGUGGGGAGCAAACAGGAUUAGAUACCCUGGUAGUCCACGCUGUAAACGAUGAGGACUCGAUGUUGGUAGGGGAACCUAUCAGUAUCAAAGCUAACGCGAUAAGUCUUCCGCCUGGGAAGUACGGCCGCAAGGUUGAAACUCAAAUGAAUUGACGGGGGCCCGCACAAGCGGUGGAGCAUGUGGUUUAAUUCGAUGCAACGCGAAGAACCUUACCUACCCUUGACAUCCUGCGAAUCCCGAUGAGAGUUGGGAGUGCCGAAAGGAGCGCAGAGACAGGUGCUGCAUGGCUGUCGUCAGCUCGUGUUGUGAGAUGUUGGGUUAAGUCCCGUAACGAGCGCAACCCUUGUCCUUAGUUGCCAGCAAGUAAUGUUGGGGACUCUAAGGAGACUGCCGGUGAUGAACCGGAGGAAGGCGGGGACGACGUCAAGUCAUCAUGGCCUUUAUGGGUAGGGCCACACACGUGCUACAAUGGGGCGUACAGAGGGUAGCCAACCCGCGAGGGGGAGCCAAUCUCAUAAAGCGUCUCGUAGUCCGGAUUGGAGUCUGCAACUCGACUCCAUGAAGUUGGAAUCGCUAGUAAUCGCGAAUCAGCAUUGUCGCGGUGAAUACGUUCCCGGGCCUUGUACACACCGCCCGUCACGUCAUGGAAGUGGAUGGUACCAGAAGCGGGUAGUUUAACCGAAAGGGGAACGCUUGCCACGGUAUGAUUCAUGACUGGGACGAAGUCGUAACAAGGUAGCCGUUGGGGAAACCAGUGGCUGGAUCACCUCCUUCU
RNAcentral lists this ribosomal RNA (991 nucleotides) under uncultured bacterium. RNAcentral's name for it is "bacterial SSU rRNA". It matches the Rfam family "Bacterial small subunit ribosomal RNA", at positions 547 to 1533 of the family's 1533-position model. The record is from RNAcentral.